CAAAAGCUGAGCGCUGUUUAAACCUUCUCCGCUUGUCCUUUGAGUUUCUGGAGCCUUCCAACUCUAGUGAGGUUUUCACAGCUCCAUUCCUCUGCUCAAAGUAUUUCUCUUCAUGUGAUUUAUUCCUGGCACCAUUGGCUCUUCGUGAUUACUCAGAGCCAAGGAGCCUAACAGAGUUCUGCUUCCUCCAGUGUUUCACUUCUAUCUGAUCAGAAUUGUAGAACAUGAUCCCCUGCACAAGAAAACAGCCUAUUUCUAAAGGCUUUUCUGAGAACCUCUUACAUGUAAGAUCCUGCUCAGCAUGAAAACAGGGCAUCAUUAUCUAUCAGGGAAGAAUGCCACAGACCUGCAGGCUGAGAAACGAAUGCAGAAGGGUUAUACCAGGAUGCUUUUACAUUUUGGAUGGCUGUACAGGAGUGCCUCUUGAGCUGCCUGAGGGACUGCUGGAUCAUCUUCUUUCAGGACUGUUCAAAAAUGUGCUGCUAUGGAUUCACAUUAGAAGUCAGAACCAAGGAAAGAAAUGCAUGUUGUGCCUGGAAUAGAUGAUGGUGACGGUCCACUUGGUCAUCAGGUCCUAGGGGAAGCUGUUUACCAGCAUGAGACAUGAUUCAGCCCUAGAGCACAAAGUUCUUCUGUGCCAGAGCAGCAGAACUGCUGACCCCAGUGUUCUCUAUAGGGCAUUAGUUUAUGUUUUGGUAGGUUGGGCCAAUACCGUUGAGUGCCAUGAGGACAAAGAAAGCAACUACAAACUUGUCUGCCUUCCAAAUGGCAACCACGUGAAAAAGAGAGGAUAGAGGUAAUGUUUCCAAUUAAUCCAUGCUGUAGGGAGAUCUGAUGCUACAUAGCUAUGUAAAACCCACCAAUUUGCCUUUGCUUUACUUUUCUUCCAAGUGCACGUAUCAUAGAAGAAAAUAAAUUUAUUCUAAAAAAAAUUGUCUAAAGUUAU
RNAcentral lists this long non-coding RNA (946 nucleotides) under Struthio camelus australis. RNAcentral's name for it is "lncRNA (ENSSCUG00000004053.1)". The record is from RNAcentral. Lineage: Eukaryota; Metazoa; Chordata; Aves; Struthioniformes; Struthionidae.